GAUGAACGCUAGCGGCAGGCCUAACACAUGCAAGUCGAGGGUAACGGGGUGCUUGCACCGCCGACGACCGGCGCACGGGUGCGUAACGCGUAUAGAAUCUACCUUGUACUGAGGGAUAGCCUUUGGAAACGAAGAUUAAGCCCUCAUAGUAUGAUGACUUGGCAUCAAGAUAUCAUUAAGGGUUACGGUACAAGAUGACUAUGCGUUCUAUUAGCUAGAUGGUAAGGUAACGGCUUACCAUGGCAACGAUAGAUAGGGGCCCUGAGAGGGGGAUCCCCCACACUGGUACUGAGACACGGACCAG
RNAcentral lists this ribosomal RNA (304 nucleotides) under uncultured bacterium. Its description in RNAcentral is "bacterial SSU rRNA". It matches the Rfam family "Bacterial small subunit ribosomal RNA", at positions 28 to 334 of the family's 1533-position model. The record is from RNAcentral.